This is a long non-coding RNA of Diachasmimorpha longicaudata, 767 nucleotides long. RefSeq lists it as uncharacterized. The record is from RefSeq and is a predicted model, not a curated record. The transcript is spliced from 3 exons. Lineage: Eukaryota; Metazoa; Arthropoda; Insecta; Hymenoptera; Braconidae.
AGAAUAAUUCUUUUGCCAGUUAUUCUAGAUCAGUUUAUUCCGUGUUGAUAUUGUCUGACAAUUUUCAUAAAUUAAUAUUUUGAAGAAAAAUACUUUUUUGGCAAAUUGUGGAAUCUUUAUUUACCCCAGUUUAACAUCUCUGGUGCUACCCGAUAAAAAUAUUAUUUAAUGAACAAGGUUUUAGUGCAGUGAGACGCCAUAGAAAAUACACAAAAUUACACGUGAUAAUGAAAAUAAAACUAAGUGGCCAAAGAAAAGCAGAAGUGUUGCGAUCAAAGCUAAUACGCAAAAAGCUGGAAAAAUGGCUGGUCGGAAGUGAAAAAGGUAGUGCGAGCGCAUGAUUAUACCAAAUGUCACUGCGAUCUCCAUAACUCCACCAUAAUCUGUGGGACUGAUUCUGAUGCGGUUUCAUCUGAACGAGGUAUAAUCCUAGUGAGCCACUGAAGGCACCAUACUGAUGGAAGAAAAAUCGCACCUGACAGGACUGAUAAUACGGACUCUUGGGAUCGCUGCUGUAUGGGGGUGUGGGAUUGAAUAUGGGACUGUUCAACGUUGCACGGUCCCCAAGUCCAUUGCCCCUCGAAGAGUUCACAAAUGCAUAAGUUCCUGGGAUAAAUAUAAAAAAUAUAGUAAGAUAAAGGUCAUUUGGGCAUCAUGUGUGGGUCAUAUGGUCGAAUGUACAAUUACCUUUCGGAUUAUCAUUGGCGUCUGUCUUGGGAACUCCAUCUCUCCGAGCUCCAGGUGUUAUUUUUUGAAAAUGUUGCCUA